Molecule: ribosomal RNA, 497 nt
Filed under: uncultured bacterium
Lineage: Bacteria
Description: partial 16S ribosomal RNA
Rfam family: Bacterial small subunit ribosomal RNA
Source: RNAcentral
GAUGAACGCUUUCUUCUUUCCUAAUACAUGCAAGUCGAGCGAACAGACGAGGAGCUUGUUCCUUUGACGUUAGCGGCGGACGGGUGAGUAACACGUGGAUAACCUACCUAUAAGACUGGGAUAACUUCGGGAAACCGGAGCUAAUACCGGAUAACAUGUUGAACCGCAUGGUUCAACAGUGAAAGACGGUCUUGCUGUCACUUAUAGAUGGAUCCGCGCCGCAUUAGCUAGUUGGUAAGGUAACGGCUUACCAAGGCAACGAUGCGUAGCCGACCUGAGAGGGUGAUCGGCCACACUGGAACUGAGACACGGUCCAGACUCCUACGGGAGGCAGCAGUAGGGAAUCUUCCGCAAUGGGCGAAAGCCUGACGGAGCAACGCCGCGUGAGUGAAGAAGGUCUUCGGAUCGUAAAACUCUGUUAUUAGGGAAGAACAAAUGUGUAAGUAACUAUGCACGUCUUGACGGUACCUAAUCAGAAAGCAACGGCUAACUACGUG